CGGGGGACAACAUUUGGAAACGAAUGCUAAUACCGCAUAAAAACUUUAAACACAAGUUUUAAGUUUGAAAGAUGCAAUUGCAUCACUCAAAGAUGAUCCCGCGUUGUAUUAGCUAGUUGGUGAGGUAAAGGCUCACCAAGGCGAUGAUACAUAGCCGACCUGAGAGGGUGAUCGGCCACAUUGGGACUGAGACACGGCCCAAACUCCUACGGGAGGCAGCAGUAGGGAAUCUUCGGCAAUGGACGAAAGUCUGACCGAGCAACGCCGCGUGAGUGAAGAAGGUUUUCGGAUCGUAAAACUCUGUUGGUAGAGAAGAACGUUGGUGAGAGUGGAAAGCUCAUCAAGUGACGGUAACUACCCAGAAAGGGACGGCUAACUACGUGCCAGCAGCCGCGGUAAUACGUAGGUCCCGAGCGUUGUCCGGAUUUAUUGGGCGUAAAGCGAGCGCAGGUGGUUUAUUAAGUCUGGUGUAAAAGGCAGUGGCUCAACCAUUGUAUGCAUUGGAAACUGGUAGACUUGAGUGCAGGAGAGGAGAGUGGAAUUCCAUGUGUAGCGGUGAAAUGCGUAGAUAUAUGGAGGAACACCGGUGGCGAAAGCGGCUCUCUGGCCUGUAACCGACACUGAGGCUCGAAAGCGUGGGGAGCAAACAGGAUUAGAUACCCUGGUAGUCCACGCCGUAAACGAUGAGUGCUAGAUGUAGGGAGCUAUAAGUUCUCUGUAUCGCAGCUAACGCAAU
Molecule: ribosomal RNA, 736 nt
Filed under: Lactococcus lactis
Lineage: Bacteria; Bacillati; Bacillota; Bacilli; Lactobacillales; Streptococcaceae
Description: bacterial SSU rRNA
Rfam family: Bacterial small subunit ribosomal RNA
Source: RNAcentral